CCUACGGGUGGCAGCAGUGAGGAAUAUUGGUCAAUGGACGAGAGUCUGAACCAGCCAAGUCGCGUGAAGGAUGACUGCCCUAUGGGUUGUAAACUUCUUUUAUAAAGGAAUAAAACGAGGCACGUGUGCCUUUUUGUAUGUACUUUAUGAAUAAGAAUCGGCUAACUCCGUGCCAGCAGCCGCGGUAAUACGGAGGAUCCGAGCGUUAUCCGGAUUUAUUGGGUUUAAAGGGAGCGUAGAUGGGUUGUUAAGUCAGUUGUGAAAGUUUGCGGCUCAACCGUAAAAUUGCAAUUGAUACUGGCAGUCUUGAGUACAGUUGAGGUAAGCGGAAUUCGUGGUGUAGCGGUGAAAUGCUUAGAUAUCACGAAGAACCCCGAUUGCGAAGGCAGCUUACUAAACUGUGACUGACACUGAUGCUCGAAAGUGUGGGUAUCAAACAGGAUUAGAUACCCCAGUAGUC
Molecule: ribosomal RNA, 460 nt
Filed under: uncultured bacterium
Lineage: Bacteria
Description: partial 16S ribosomal RNA
Rfam family: Bacterial small subunit ribosomal RNA
Source: RNAcentral